This 27-nucleotide non-coding RNA is filed under the name Escherichia coli. The record is from RNAcentral. Lineage: Bacteria; Pseudomonadati; Pseudomonadota; Gammaproteobacteria; Enterobacterales; Enterobacteriaceae. RNAcentral also lists the same sequence under 1 other name.
CGGUAAGGUGAUAUGAACCGUUAUAAC